RNAcentral lists this ribosomal RNA (468 nucleotides) under uncultured bacterium. RNAcentral describes it as "partial 16S ribosomal RNA". It matches the Rfam family "Bacterial small subunit ribosomal RNA", at positions 28 to 507 of the family's 1533-position model. The record is from RNAcentral.
GACGAACGCUGGCGGCGUGCUUAACACAUGCAAGUCGAACGGAAAGGCCCUGCUUUUGUGGGGUGCUCGAGUGGCGAACGGGUGAGUAACACGUGAGUAACCUGCCCUUGACUUUGGGAUAACUUCAGGAAACUGGGGCUAAUACCGGAUAGGAGCUCCUGCUGCAUGGUGGGGGUUGGAAAGUUUCGGCGGUUGGGGAUGGACUCGCGGCUUAUCAGCUUGUUGGUGGGGUAGUGGCUUACCAAGGGUUUGACGGGUAGCCGGCCUGAGAGGGUGACCGGCGAAAUGGGGACUGAGAUACGGCCCAGACUCCAACGGGAGGCAGCAGUGGGGAAUAUUGCAAAAUGGGAGGAAGCCUGAUGAAGCAACGCCGGGUGCGGGAUGACGGCCUUCGGGUUGUAAACAAAUUUAGCCUGUGACGAAGCGUGAGUGACGGUAAUGGGUAAAGAAGCACCGGCUAACUACGUG